Molecule: ribosomal RNA, 503 nt
Filed under: uncultured bacterium
Lineage: Bacteria
Description: partial 16S ribosomal RNA
Rfam family: Bacterial small subunit ribosomal RNA
Source: RNAcentral
AUUGAACGCUGGCGGCAGGCUUAACACAUGCAAGUCGAGCGGGGUGAUGGUGCUUGCACUAUCACUUAGCGGCGGACGGGUGAGUAAUGCUUAGGAAUCUGCCUAUUAGUGGGGGACAACAUCUCGAAAGGGAUGCUAAUACCGCAUACGUCCUACGGGAGAAAGCAGGGGAUCACUUGUGACCUUGCGCUAAUAGAUGAGCCUAAGUCGGAUUAGCUAGUUGGUGGGGUAAAGGCCUACCAAGGCGACGAUCUGGAGCGGGUCUGAGAGGAUGAUCCGCCACACUGGGACUGGAACGAGGACCAGACUCCUGCGGGAGGCAGCAGUGGGGAAUAUUGGACAAUGGGGGGAACCCUGAUCCAGCCAUGCCGCGUGUGUGAAGAAGGCCUUAUGGUUGUAGAGCACUUUAAGCGAGGAGGAGGCUCUUUUGGUUAAUACCCAAGAUGAGUGGACGUUACUCGCAGAAUAAGCACCGGCUAACUCUGUGCCAGCCGCCGCAGUAA